AGGAUUCCGCUGAAGGAGCGGCGAUCGUCCUAUCAGGUAGUUGGUGGGGUAAAGGCCUACCAAGCCGAAGACGGGUAGCGGGUGUGAGAGCAUGACCCGCCGCAUCGGGACUGAGACACUGCCCGGACUCCUACGGGAGGCUGCAGUAACGAAUCUUCCGCAAUGCGCGAAAGCGUGACGGAGCAAUGCCGCGUGUGGGACGAAGCGGUUACGCCGUGUAAACCACUGUCAGGGUCGAGGAAGAACUGACCAGACCCAGAGGAAGGGCCGGCUAAUCUCGUGCCAGCAGCCGCGGUAAUACGAGAGGCCCAAGCGUUAGGCGGAAUCACUGGGCUUAAAGGGUGCGUAGGCGGGCGUGCAAGCAUCGUGUGAAAUCCCUCGGCUCAACCGGGGAACCGCACAGUGAACUGCACGCCUUGAGGUAGGUAGGGGCGAUCGGAACGUUCGGCGGAGCAGUGAAAUGCGUAGAUAUCGAACGGAACGCCAAGAGUGAAGACAGAUCGCUGGGCCUUACCUGACGCUGAGGCACGAAAGCGUGGGGAGCAAACAGGAUUAGAUACCCUGGUAGUCCACGCUGUAAACGAUGAUCACUCGCUGUUGGCGAUACACUGUCAGUGGCCAAGCGAAAGCAUUAAGUGAUCCACCUGGGGAGUACGAUCGCAAGGUUGAAACUCAAAGGAAUUGACGGGGGCCCGCACAAGCGGUGGAGCAUGUGGUUUAAUUCGAUGAUACGCGAGGAACCUUACCAGGGCUUAAAUGUAGGAUGACAGACUAGGAAACUAGUCCUUCUUCGGACAGCCUACAAGGUGCUGCAUGGUUGUCGUCAGCUCGUGCUGUGAAGUGUCGGGUUAAGUCCCAUAACGAGCGCAACCCCUAUUCUUAGUUGCCAGCGAGUAAUGUCGGGGACUCUAAGGAAACUGCCGGUGUAAACCGUGAGGAAGGUGGGGAUGACGUCAAAUCAUCACGGCCCUUACGUCCUGGGCCACACACGUGCUACAAUGGUCGGUACAGAGGGCAGCUAUCUGGUGACAGAAUGCAAAUCUCGAAAGCCGAUCUCAGUUCGGAUUGUAGUCUGCAACUCGACUACAUGAAGCUGGAAUCGCUAGUAAUCGCGCAUCACGCCAUGGCGCGGUGAUACGUCCCGGGCAUUGUACACACCGCCCGUCAAGCCAUGGAAGCUGAGGGUGCCUGAA
RNAcentral lists this ribosomal RNA (1193 nucleotides) under uncultured organism. Its description in RNAcentral is "bacterial SSU rRNA". It matches the Rfam family "Bacterial small subunit ribosomal RNA", at positions 205 to 1425 of the family's 1533-position model. The record is from RNAcentral.